This 307-nucleotide long non-coding RNA is filed under the name Cyanistes caeruleus (blue tit). RNAcentral's name for it is "lncRNA (ENSCCEG00000011236.1)". The record is from RNAcentral. Lineage: Eukaryota; Metazoa; Chordata; Aves; Passeriformes; Paridae.
ACUGUCACAGCUUUCCAGAGCAGGGUCCCUCUUUCUGCCUUCGUGCCUAUGUGUAAAAGCCAUCUGCCACUUUGGAGGACUUGGCUCAUGGGAAGCCUGUGAGGAACCCAUUUGGGAGGCACCUGAGCUGUCUUCUCUAGGAAAUAGCUACUUUGUGCGGCAUGUUCCCUUACAGAGAAGGCUAAAGAGUGGAUAAGAGGAAAUCUAGUUAAUCCAGGCCAACACAGCAUUUAAGGACACCUUGAUAACGAAAGAGAUGGAGCACAGAGCAGGAUAAAAAGAAUCAAAAUUGUCUACAAAUGAGGUA